Molecule: non-coding RNA, 148 nt
Filed under: Nomascus leucogenys (northern white-cheeked gibbon)
Lineage: Eukaryota; Metazoa; Chordata; Mammalia; Primates; Hylobatidae
Source: Rfam by way of RNAcentral
GCUGGGCAUGGUGGUGCAUGCCUGUAAUCCCAGCUACUCGGGAGGCUGAGGCAGGAGAAUCGCUCGAACCCAGGAGGCAGAGGUUGCAGUGAGCCAAGAUCGCACUACUGCACUCUAGCCUGGGCAACAGAGCGAGACUCCGUCUCAA